This 40211-nucleotide long non-coding RNA is filed under the name Triticum aestivum (bread wheat). RNAcentral's name for it is "long non-coding RNA (TAES_LNC023181)". Lineage: Eukaryota; Viridiplantae; Streptophyta; Magnoliopsida; Poales; Poaceae. The record is from RNAcentral.
UUGAAACUCCAUUGCAGAAAAGCCAGCUAUGAUAUUUAUAGACGAGAAUUGUCUUUGUAUAAACCCAAGUGAAGGGAUAGCAAGCAUGGGGCAGAAAAUUUGCAGUGAUUAUUUCUCGUCUUGCUUCCGCAAGAUCACCGACUAGUUAGGGGAAACUGGGUAAAACGCGAAAACGAUUACAACCACGCCGUGCUCCAAACACGGUAUAACUCCACUAGAACAUUAAAACCUCUCUAGAAGACGGACAACCGAAACCAUAUAUUUGGUAGCACUUUACAACUAGGGGCUGGUCAGAUCAGCCAUGUUUGUUUCAUUCAUUCACCGGAAAAAUCUUAAAGCGGAGCUCCAUUCCAAUCUCGCUCCAAUACGGAUGUCAUGUUUGUUGGUUCAAUGUCGAAUUUCCUCACACGGUGUAGUUCUGGUUGAUGGUGUCGAUGUCAAGGCCCUUGAGCUUCACCACGGAUUCAACGUGGCCCUUGAGUGUGUUGAGCUCCCUCAACCUGCAGAUAAUCAUCAGGAAAAAGGGCAUUAGCAAUCAACGACUAGCCUGACUCGUCUGAUCUAUUAGCAGUUUGGAAGCACAAAGAUAAUAUACCUUGCAAUCUCAGCUCUUCUCUUUGCUUGCUCAGCGAUCUCAGAGAGCUCACGGUAGCUGCUCUUGUCGUUGAACAGUGUGUGGGAGGCCGGCUCGGGUGCUUGAAGGCCAUGGAGUGUUCUCUGUGCAGUAGCCCAUUGUGCUUCCCUCUCCCCUUUGCCGUAGUUCUCUUUGGUGGUGAAAGCAGUCUGCACAACAAGGAUCAGAGGGUCAUCAUUUGCUCCAGGAUGUACGUGUACCUAAAAAUAAAGGUGCUGACACAGAGAUAUGGUUCGACUUGGUACCUUGUUCUGCAGGAGGUUGUCCCAGGCCCUUCCACUCAGCACAAAUCGGAUGAAGAACUUGAAAAUGUCAAGUGGGAAGUAGAACACAAUGCUGAAGAGCCAGAUAACACCAGCCCAGCCCCACCCGAUUCCCUUGAUCCUUGCAAACUCCCAGUUGGCAUAGACAGCGAUGAGUGUUGCAACCUGCAUCAAGAAGGUUCAGCUAAGGAUUCGAUUGUCCUGAAUUUCUUUCUUUGCAGAUAAACUGUUCUUCACGUACCAAUUGUGCAAGAAGGAAGGCGGUAACCAAGAGGAAACCAGGGCGCUCAACAAAGGACCAGCUACGUGAACGAGUCACGAAUAUAAGAGCCUGGCUCACAAUACUGACUUGGAGGUACAGUGCAGACAUCAUCUCAAACUCGCUGUCCCUGAUUGACCUGACACCGAAUUUGUUCUGCACAAAGAAAUUUAAGUCAGAAAGAACAUCCCACUGAAAUUUACCUACCAGAAGUUUAGAUGCAAAGAUACGCUGAUAUUUUUCAAAGAAAUUUGAAAACUCACUGUGAAGAAGUCUGUCUUGUGGAUAACCCAGAAGAAGACGACAGUCAUCAGGGCAAGGUAGGUUCCGAGCACAACACCAGUGGCGAAGAUUUCAUUGAGCUUCCAGCUGUCGGGCAAGGGAGAUGGCUUAACUCUGUCCUUGGAUAUUGUCAUGAUAGUACCUGCAAUUUUCAUAUAAAUGUGAGAAGUGAUGCUCACAUACAUACCAUCAUUGGCCGUAGUACCUGCAUCGGCUACUAAUGGACAACAAAAGAAUACAUACCAUCAUUGAGGAUGGCAAUGAUAAGGACCAUGAAGGGGGCGAAAUCAAAUUUCCAGAUCAAGGCAAUAAGCAUAAAGCCAAGCUGCAAAAUGGAAGUGAUAUUAAUUUGGAGAAAUAUGAAGUGCAUAUCAGUGGGGCAGAAAUAUCGCUGAGGUACUUACCACAAUACGGAUGGUGAUGGAAACUGCAUAGAUCUGGCAUAACACAUGACAGAAAAAGAGCAUUGAGUCUGAAUGUGAUGUGAUCAUCUGUUUAGAAGGUUACUAAUUAUCAACUUUGAAAGAAAAAACUCACCGUGUAGUUCUUCAUCCUCUGGAAAAUGCACCUGCUGGUCAGGACAGCACUGAUAAUGACACUGAGACCUGGCUCGGUAAGCACAAUGUCGGAAGCACUUCGAGCAGCAUCUGUAGCAUCAUCGACAGCAAUACCAAUGUCGGCCUUCUUAAGAGCAGGAGCAUCAUUGACACCAUCUCCAGUCAUACCAACGAUGUGCUUCUUCUCUUGCAGCCUCUUCACAAUCUCAUACUUGUGCUCUGCAUAACGCAAACCAGGUUAACAAAAUGCAUCAUUGCAUAACCAAACAGAUAAGCAUGCAAUGGAGCAUACCAGGGAAGACUCCGGCAAAUCCAUCAGCCUUCUCAAUCAGCUCAUCAACAGGAAGUGACUCAAGUGAACCAUCCUUGCUUUGGCCAAGCAAUGCAGAAGAAGGAUACAUGUUUGUGCCCAUCCCAAGCCUCCUACCAGUCUCCUUUCCAAUAGCAAGUUGGUCACCUGAAAUAAAUCACAUAACUAUGUUUAGCUAAAUUUGCACCAAACAUGCAAAAUUCUAAGCAAGAAAUUUGUAUGACAGUGUAUGUACCUGUGAUCAUCUUGACGUUGACACCAAGAACAAGUGCCUUGCGGAUGGUCUCAGCACUGUCAUGCCUUGGGGGAUCAAACAGGGGCAACAGACCAAUGAAUUGCCAUGGUCCACCAGGAGAAUCCUUGGAUUUCUCGGGUACUUCCUGUGAUAGUCUCACUAGGCAUUAGAAAUUGACUCCCCAGCCACUACAGCCGAAAUAGCAUUUUUAGUAUUAGAAGUUAAGGUACCUGUCUUGCAACAGCAAGCGAACGAAGCCCACGCUCAGCGUACUUCUCAAUCACAGAGUGCACCUUUCUCUUCACAUCCUCCUUGCAGUUGCACAGGGUAAUAAUCUGUUCCAAGUUUCAUACCAAGUCUUCAUUAGUCACGUUAAAGAACAAUGUAACUAACUAAAAUGUCAAACAUGUAAUGAAGCAUCGCUGCACUUCUAUAGUUUUACCAACCUGCUCAGGAGCACCCUUGCUGGCACGGUGCCAGUUACCCUCAGCAUCGAUGUAAGUCAGAGCAGUCCUCUUGUCAGUAGGGUUGAAUGGCAAGAAGUGCACUUCCCUGAUGCCAGCUCUUGCCUCCUUAGGAUCAGCAAGCAUACCAACCAUGCAAGCAUCAAUGGCAUCCUGGUUUUCAACCCUUGAAGCCCUUGCAGCCAACAACAGCACAUGUUCUUUGUCGACACCUUUCGCAAACACCUCAACCAGGUUCUUGUCAACACUGAGCUUGUUAAGGGUGAGUGUGCCAGUCUUAUCACUGCAAAGCACAUCCAUGCCAGCCAACUCUUCAAUGGCAGUCAUCCUCUUGGUGAUAGCACCCUGCUGGGACAACUUGUGAGAACCAAUGGCCAUGGUGACCGACAAAACUGUAGGCAUGGCAAUCGGAAUACCACCGAUCAACAGGACCAACAGGUUCUCAAUACCGGCACGGUACUUGCGGCGCUGGAUCGGGAACAUGACGAUGAUCUCAAUGACGAUUCCCACUGCGAUCGAAACGAUGCAGAAGUUUCCGAUUGCAGUGAGGACCUGCUGGAAGUGCCCAACUUGGUUGGUGCUGUCAACGAGAUGAGCAGCCUUGCCAAAGAAAGUGUGUACUCCAGUGGCAAUGACCACAGCCUCAAUCUCACCCUGCUUGCACGUUGAUCCAGAAAAGACCUCAUCCCCAGGGUUCUUGGUCACAGGGAGAGACUCUCCUGUAAGUCCAGACUGAUCAAUCUUCAAAGGAUCACCCUCGAGGAGACGAGCAUCAGCAGGGACGAUGUCACCGAGCUUGAUGCUGACAAUGUCACCAGGAACCAAGAUUGAAGCCUCCUGCUCGCCCCAUCGACCAUCCCUAAGCACCUGGAAUAAGCAACAGUAAUUCAUGUUACAAAAAGAAUGGGCAAACAAACAAACAGAACUCAAUUAAAAAAGCUGGAGCUUGACUAUCAGUUCCAGAACAAAAGUACUAUACAGUUAUAGUAAUUAUGUCCAAAUAAAUUGCAAUUGCUAAUCCAGGUUUAACAAACAAUUUAAAUUUUUCUUUCAUGAUGGUGGAAUUUGAUACAUUCAAAACUUACUUCUACUCCCUCCGUUCCUAAAUGUAAGUCUUUGUAGAGAUUCCACUAUAAACCGCAUACGGAUGUAUAUAGAUGCAUUUUAAGUUUAGAUUCAUUCGUUCUGCUCCGUAUGUAGUCUACCUAGUAGAAUCUCUACAAAGACUUAUAUUUAGGAACGGAGGGAGUACAUCAUAGUUGAAAGCGGGAACUAGAAAAGUAUAAUGGAAGCAGACCAAUAGAAUAUCAUGGCUACUGUACUAUGGAAAAAAAAUUGCAACCUAACAGGACAGCAUUCUGUGCCAGGCUCACCUUUGUCUUGGGUGCAAGGUUGGCCAUGAGCGCAGCAGCAGCGUUGCCGGCGUUGUUCUCUUCAAUGAAGGAGAUGGUGGAGUUGAUGACCAGGAGAACGAUGAUUCCGACGAAAUCCUGCCAAUCCGGGGGCUUCCCACCACCGUUGGCCAGCGCGAUGGCCAUGAUGGCAGCCAUCUCCAUGACCCAGGACAGCGGAUUCCACAUGAAUCCCAGGAACUUGAGGACUUUGCUCUCCUGCAAAUCGAGACCCACAAGGAAGCAAUUGAGACAAGGCAAGAAAACAGGCACCAAACUUGCAUCAGAAACCAGUAGUGGCGCUCACCUUCUUCUCUUCGAGCUUGUUGAGACCAAAGAUUUCAACACGCUGCGCCCCCUCAUCGGAGGUGAGCCCCUGGCGCGUGCAUUUCAGCUGCUCGAACACCUCCUCGAUGGGGAUGUUCUCCUGCAAAUAGAAACACAAGCGAAACAAACCAUUGAUGAGAAACCAAGAUCAUGCGAUGAUUUGAGGUGUGACCCCACUCAGUCAGCGACAGCUAGAACAGACAAAUCAAACAGCAAACACAGCUCGUUGUACAGAACAGUAGCUACCCCGUCGUGGGCCCCACGGGCCAGCCUCUACCAGACAAAGCUGGGGUCAGAACAUCCGAAGAGGGAAGAGUCCAAGCGGGCAUCCAUCAACGAAGGAGGCGUGGGGCCAAUGAUUGGGACCCGUACGGCCGUCUGAUCUCGAUCAGACGGCUCAAGCCGGCCAAGGACAGGGUGUCCUGGACCGUACGCGCCUGGCCGGGUGCGUACUUUUCCCCACGGACCCACGUGCCAGGAGGCUGCCUCGAGAUGCGUGCGGCCAAGAUGCGCACCCCGUUCCGCGUCUGAAGGCGAAAAAACAAUAGGAUAAGCGAGAGCGAGCGACGGCUCCGCUUCUGGAUUGGGGUGCGCGCUUCGGUCAACAAAGAUAGAAAAACGAAAAGGCAACGGCUCGAACGCACGGAUUUCUCCGUGCUUUGUGGUGGUUGGCCACUAAUCCGGCGCCGCGUGAUCAGGGAGUCCGGCCCGUGCUUAACUAUCUUUUGACUUCAAGCCCCAAUCCGUACUCCCAUCCCACUAAUCCCACUAAAACUACUCGAAAAUCUCCAUUUAUUCUUAGCAUUUUUAGUAGUCAUUUAUUUGUGGACGGAAUAAAAACUGGGGAAGAAAUUAUGCGCAGAUCUAAGAUUCGGUGCUCGUAUCCCGCUCGUAUCACGUAUUAAAUACGGCAGACUGAAACAGCUGGGUAGGAUCCAAAAAUUCCUCCGCCGAACAACAGCGGCCGGGCUGCAUGCCCUGUACGUUUCGGCGCGGCAGCAGCAGCAGCAGCACAGCGGGAGCAAAUCAGAGGAAGAAACAUGGGGGUGUCUGCGCUACAUGGCCAUAGACAGCUGGCCCUCUCCAUCAUUGAAGAGCCGCUGAGCACGCUCACAUGGCGAGAUACAGCCUCGCAUGGAAAGUUUACUUUCAAGGAAAUCCUUUAAUUCCUUUUCGUUUCACAAAAAAAGUAACCAGUUAAACUUUUCGUGAAUGGAAAAAUUAAAAGCUACGCGGAUUUCUUCCGAAGCUUUCGCCGCUGGUAAUAAUAAUUCCCCAAAAAGAGAAGAACAGCAGGUGAAACGACCGGCAGAUGAAUCUAUCCUACCACAGUUCGUGCGACUCUUGACCCGUGUGUCGAGAGAUCGAAGCAGCAGGGGACAGCAGUUCGAAACGAGCACCGCAUGUGUAGAGCGUGAACCAAGCAUCACGGCGAGAGACGGGGCAUCGCAAGAGAAGGGGGGGAGCGGGAGCGGUUCUCACCAGAUCGACGGCCUCGUUCCUGAUCUCCUCGAGCCCGCCCAUGGCUGGCGGCGGGUGGUGGUCGGGCGCCGGACCAGCACGGGAAGAGAGCAGGCGGAGUCCACAGGCGAACCCCGAGGCCCAACUCUAGCACGCACCAACGCGGGAGGCCGCGCUGGCUGCUGCUNNNNNNNNNNNNNNNNNNNNNNNNNNNNNNNNNNNNNNNNNNNNNNNNNNNNNNNNNNNNNNNNNNNNNNNNNNNNNNNNNNNNNNNNNNNNNNNNNNNNNNNNNNNNNNNNNNNNNNNNNNNNNNNNNNNNNNNNNNNNNNNNNNNNNNNNNNNNNNNNNNNNNNNNNNNNNNNNNNNNNNNNNNNNNNNNNNNNNNNNNNNNNNNNNNNNNNNNNNNNNNNNNNNNNNNNNNNNNNNNNNNNNNNNNNNNNNNNNNNNNNNNNNNNNNNNNNNNNNNNNNNNNNNNNNNNNNNNNNNNNNNNNNNNNNNNNNNNNNNNNNNNNNNNNNNNNNNNNNNNNNNNNNNNNNNNNNNNNNNNNNNNNNNNNNNNNNNNNNNNNNNNNNNNNNNNNNNNNNNNNNNCUCUCUCUCUGUUCGCGUGCCGCGGCGAGUUAGGCCGUCCCUCCCUCCCGUCCCGCCGCACCUGGAUGGCGCCUCGCGGAGAGAUAGCGAGCACAGGCAGAGGCACGUGCGCGCGGGGCCCGCGCGUCGGUGGCGGUGGCGGAAAUAUCCCGAAGAUUUGACCCCGGGGAAGGGCAGGGGCUGGCGCGGGCCCCGCGGGCGUAUCGCCGCAGAGCCGUGGGAUGCCAGCCACUUGUGGGCGGGACCGGGUGCCCGCGCCGCGGCACGGGAUAACGGGCGCGGCGUCAAAGGGUUGGUCGGCGCCUUCCGUUCCUUUUUUAACUGCGGGCCGCGCGCGCGCCCGUGCCGGGCUGGGUUGGGUUUUGGCCCGGGUCACGGAGGGAGAUUCCAUUCCGCUCCACCGUUGUUUCUGCGAGCGGAUGGGGGCCGUACGUACGUACGGUGCGGACGGUAGCGGCCGUGCCUCCGUGUACCGGAACAAAAGUGCGGGGACGCGAGGAUAAAAAAACUACUGCUACGAGGAGGCAUUGCGGGGUGGGAUUUUGUAGCCUGGCGCUGUAAACCUGGCAUGUUUUUGGCAACUGUGGACGCCUGGCUUCGGUUGGUUGGUUGGUGCGAUUCGGGUCACAAGGGGCCGGCCAAUGGGACGGCCGUGAUUGCCGGUUCAAACGGGUUUUUAAAUGUUGCUUAUCUUUUGCUACUAGUAGUUUGCCAGUAUGAACAUUUCUCUUGCCCCACCGUUAUAAAAACAGAGGACGAUUUCGACUUUACUACGAGGAACUCUGACGGUUUUGUAUUUUUAUACUGACAGAACUCUAGCGAUUGAUGUUCGUAUAAGUACAAACGUAUAUAUACGAAUGGCGUGACGCUGUGUUUUUUUGUUGACGAAUUAUUGUGCACGGUUCUACCUAGCAAAUCAAAAUAGUUCAUUGAUAAUUUGCGGGGAUAUGGAAGCAUGUGCGAUGUCAUGCAUUCAGGAGCGAUAGCGGUGCUAUUAUUGCUCGCAUUUGUAUCCUUACUUGAAAUAUGUCAACAAGAUUCGUCUUCUUUUGUGUGACAUCAAACCUUAUCGUGCACUCCGGCAUCUUUUGACGCGGUUCCUACUAUCCAUCCACGUAGUAAGAUUAAAAAGGUGUAUUAACCUUCCCGCAAAAAAAAGGUGAAUUAACCAAUUAGUGUGACGAAAAAAGCAAUCAUAUAUGAUGGGGAAAAUAGUGAUCUCUUUCCUGUGACUGGUCAUCGCUUUGUAUGUUUACAUCGCUAGUUUCAUCCCGGUCCAGCUCUUAGUUAGUCAAGAUCUUCAUGCCAAUAGCACAAUGGGUUAUAUACAAACGCCCUGAAGAUCCUUGGCGCUGCCUUCACCCCCUUUAUCUUUGUUUUAUUAGUUUGCUUCACAAUAUCAUGUCUGCUUUUAGGUUUACAUCAACAUCACCAUGCAUUCCCUCUCUUAAUCCCCAUUUAGUUCUUAUUCUAUAUUAUUUUGUCUCACAAAAGCUCCAUAAUUGUGUUUUUUCGAUCUGGUGUCCCUGCACACUUGAAAGCAUGCGAACAACAUAAGACAUCAUGGAAUUCUCACACUUUAUGCGUCUUUUUGCACUGUAUUUUUGGGUUUGUAGUGCAAUGCAUAGCACGGGUAUGUCUAUGUGUGGACAUAGCAAUGGGCUUUUUCACCCAGUCUAUGAUGGUCUUUACGAUGGACUAGACCAAAUUAAAUAAAAAGCCAACGGUACAACAUGAGGUGUAGGGAGAGAGGUGAGAAAAAUAACUAAGAGAAGGAAAAUUGCAAUCUUUUUAGAAGGUGAAACGACACGGUACUCCAAUCCAUGAGGGGGGGCUUCUUCUGAUAGUAGGGAUAUUUGACAAACAUAGAGAAGUUUGACUAUGUGCUUUGUGUGAUAUCAUGCAUUUAGGCGUGAUAGUGGUAUGAUAAUUGCUCGCAUUUUUAUCAUUGGUUGCAAUAUCUAGGCAUGUCAAACAGUAAAGCAGUUCAUCUUCUCUUAUGUGUACCACAUCAUCUAGCGAAGACCACAAAAUUUAUCAUACACUUGGACAUCUUUUGACGUGAUUCCUACUAUUAAUGCACAUAUUUUACAUUAAAAAGGUGCAUGAACCAAUUAUGUGUGACAAAAAAAGAAAUGAUAUACGAUGAGGAAAAAUAAUAACUCUUUCUUGUGACUAAUCAUCCUUUUACAAAAGAGAAGAUAACAUGUUCUUUUGUUACCUCAAAGUGAAAACAAAAACAAAGUGUCACCUUUAAGAACAUAUUUGCACCGCUUGUUUCAUCCCGCUUAAGUUUCUACUUGGUCAAGAUCUUCAUGGCGAUGGUUGAUGUCUACUACAUAACUUGUUCUUGUAGAACAGUGUUGAGCCUCCAAGCACAGAGUUUUGUACGACGGUAGCAAAUUUCCCUCAAGUGGAUAACAUAAGGUUUAUCAAUCCGUGGGAGACGUAGGAUGAAGAUGGUCUCUCUCAAACAACCAUGCAACCAAAUAACAAUGAGUCUCUUGUGUCCCCAACACACCAAAUACAAUGGUAAAUUGUAUAGGUGCACUGGUUCGGCGAAGAGAUGGUUUUACAAGUGUAGUAAUGAUAGUAAAUAUUGAUUUUUGUAAUAGGAACAAUAAAAACAUCAAGGUAGCAAGUAACAAAAUUUAGCACAAAUGGUAUUGCAAUGCUUGAAAAUGAGGCCUAGGGUUCAUACUUUCACUAGUGCAAUCUCUCAACAAUGCAAAUAUAAUUGGAUCAUAUAACCUUCCCUCAACGUGUGAUAAAAGAACCACUCCAAAGUUCUGAUCUAGCGGAACAUAAGACUAAAUUGUUUGUAGGGUUCCUCAAAGUUAUCCUCCCCGAUCGAUCUAUCGAGCUAUUCCGAUAAGUGUCACAAACAGCCAAAGAGUUUGUACUAAAAUAACAUUGUAUGCCACUACUGCAGGAUGCUGCUAACACUACACUACGAUCAGAGACCCUUUUACGAGACUGUGUGUGAUGCAUCGCAAACGGUGAUGUAAAAAAACCGCCCAAAAAGAUGCAAAACGUUUGUGAUGGCCGAGCCAUCAAACACGGUUCUGAUUUUAGUUCUGUGUGCGAUGCAUGGCAUACGGUUCAGUUAAAUUAACUGUUUGCGAUGAGGAAUAAGAACAGAAAUGGACAGCCAGAUGAAGGCAUGUGCGAUAUACGGCAUACAGUUCACUCGGAUUAACAGUUUGUGAUGAGGCAGAACAAAAGAAAUGGGUAGCUAGAUAAAGGUGUGUGCGAUUGAGGGCAUACGCUUCAGAAGGAUUAACUGUUUGUGAUUAGGCAACAGAACAGAAAUGGUCAGCCAGAUCAAAGUGCCAGUGAUUGAUGGCAUACACUUCACACGGAUGAACUGUUUGUGAUUAGCCACAACAAACAGAAAUAGUUAGACAGAUCAACGUGUGUGCGUUAGACGAGCACACAUUCUAAUAAAAAGAAGUGUGUCUGAUGGCAAUAACGAGCACGCAUGGUUGUUGGAACAAGAUGUGUGCUGAUAUUGCCUAUUGUGGUGAACCCUAUGGUGCAAAAGCCACGUACGCGGCCAAGAAAGCGUGCCCACGUUACGCCAUCUGGGAAUAGUGCUGCACUUAGAAAUUAUAGAACUGUCAAUAAUUUUUGAGCCUGCAUCCCUUCACAUUCCAAAUUACUACCACGCUAUAUUUAAUUGCAAACCUGUUCACACCGAUCAAAACCUAAACGUUUUCCCACUUAGGAGUGUAUUAGUACUCGGUUAUAAAUACUAAUACUCCAAGAUGACUGCACAUUCCACCUCAACUCCUCAUCCACAAAACAAACAAGUCAUUUAUCAUCGUUCCCUUGUGUCUGCCAUGACCAGCGUGAGUUCUGGGUCGAGAGAUUGCCACCAGGGAUAGGCGAGCAUAAUAACCAUGAAACUUGUCAAAAUCGUAUUUGGUGUGUUGUUUUUAUUGUUCUGAUUACAAAAAUCAAUAUCAACUAUCAUUACUAUGCUUGUAUCACCAUCUCUUCACCGAACUAGCGCACCUAUACAAAUUACCAUUGUAUUUGGUGUGUUGGGGACACAAGAGACUUUUUAUUAUUUACUUGCAGGGUUGUUUGAGAGAGACCAUCUUCAUCCUACGCCUCCCAGGAUUGAUAAACCUUAGGUCAUCCACUUGAGGGAAAUUUGCUACUGUCCUACAAAACUCUGCGCUUGGAGGCCCAACACGAGUCUACAAGAACAAGUUGUGUAGUAGACACCACGUUGCCGGGGAGACAUCAUCAACAUCUACCAGGUUCCUAAUCACAAAUCUCAUCUCAUCGCUAUUUACACUAUUUUCCAUUUGCCUCUCGUUUUCAUCUCCCCCACUUCAAAAAAUGGCUGUUUUAUUCGCCCUCUUUUUCGCUCGCCGUUUUCUCGUUAGAUAUGUUUUUAGUGCAAUCUUGUUGCGUAGUCACGAUGACUCAAGAGAACACCAAGUUGUGUGAUUUCUCUAACACCAACAACAAUGAUUUUAUUAGCACUCCGGUUGCUCCUACCGCCACUAGUGUGGAGUCUUGUGAUAUUAAUGUCGCUUUGCUGAAUGUUGUUAUGAAAGAUCAAUUUUCUGGUACUCCUAGUGAGUACGUCGCAUCUCAUCUUAACACAUUCAUGGAAUUAUGGGAUAUGCAGAAGAAAAAAGAUGUGGACAAUGAUAUUGUGAAGUUGAAAUUAUUCCCGUUUUCUUUGUGAGAUCGUGCAAAAAAUUGGUUUUCUUCCUUGCCUCGCAAUAGUAUCGAUUCUUGGGAUAAGUGCAAUGAUGCUUUUAAUACUAAUUAUUUUCCGCCCGCGGAAAUUAUUUCCCUUAGAACGCAAAUCAUGAAUUUUAAGCAACUUGAGCAUGAACAUGUUGUGCAAUAUUGGUAAAGAUUGAAAUUGAUGCUAAGACAUUAUCCUACUCAUGGUUUAAAUCUUUGGAUGAUCAUACAAAUAUUUUAGGCGGGAUUGAAUUUUGUUUGUAGAAAUCUUUUAGAUUCCGCCACGAGUGGUACUUUUAUGGAAAUUACUUUGGGAAGCUACUAAAUUUCUUGAUAAUAUUAUGGCAAAUUAUUCACAAUGGCAUAUCGAAAGAGCUCCUACUAGUAAAAAAGUUAAUUUGGUUGAAGAAAUUUCUACUUUGAGUGAAAAAGUUGAUGCUCUUAUGAAGUUGGUUGCUAAUAAAAAUGUUCCUAUUGAUCUUAAUGAUGUGCCUUUGUCUACCUUGAUUGAGAAAAAUAGUGAUGCCAUAGAUGUAAAUUUUGUUUCGCGAAACAAUUUUAAUAACAAUGCUUAUAGAGGUAAUUUUAAUCCUAGACCUUUUCCAGGAAACUCCUCUAAUAAUUAUGGUAAUUUCUAUGGUGAUCCUUCUUAUAACAAUAAUAAUAAUAAUAGGAACACCUCUGAUCUUGAGAAUAAUAUUAAAGAAUUUAUCAAUGCUCAAAAGAGUUUUAAUGCUACGAUAGAAGAAAAGUUGAGUAAGAUUGAUGAUAUGUCUAGAAGCAUUGAUAGAAUUUCUCAUGAUUUAGAAAAUAUCAAGAUGAAAAAUUUUGUUCCUAAGGUUGAAGAAUCAAUUAAAGCUUUAUAUGUUUCUAUGGACAAAAUUAAGAAAAGAACCGCUAUGCUAAGAGCUAGAAGAGAAUUUGUAGAAAAAGUGUUUUCUGGUGAUUGCUUUCAUAAAAAUGAUGAAGAUCUUAAAGUGAUUGGUGUUUCUUCAAUUGAUUCAUUGGUUAGUAAAAUUAAAAUUGAUGAAAAAGGGACCGAAGAAGAGUCAACUUUAGCUAGAAGGCGUCUCGAUAAUUCGGAGGGUGAAAAUCUUGUUGAGAAAAUUGAUAAAAGUGGGUUUGGAGAGGUCAAAACUUUAACCAGUGUUGUGCCCACUCUUUUGGAUUACAAAGACUUUAAUUAUGAUAAUUGAUCUUUUAUUGAUUGUAUUUCUUUGUUGCAAUCCAUGAUAAAUUCACCCCAUGCAUACGAACAAAAUAAAGCUUUUACUAAACAUAUUGUUGAUGCUAUGAUGAAAGCUUUGGAAGAAAAGUUGGAAUUGGAGAUUUCAAUUCCUAGAAAAUUACAUGAUGAAUGGGAACCUACUAUCAAAGUCAAGAUUUAAAAUUAUGAGUGUUUUGCUUUAUGUGACUUGGUUGCUAGUGUUUCCACAAUUCCGAAAUCAUUAUGUGAUGUGCUUGGUCUUACCUAUAUUGAAGAAUGUUCUUUAAAUUUGCACUUGGCAGAUUCUGCUAUUAAAAAGCCUAUGGGAAGAAUUAAUGAUGUUCUUAUUAUUGCAAAUAGGAAUUAUGUGCCCAUAGAUUUGAUACGUCUCCAACGUAUCUAUAAUUUAUGAAGUAUUCAUGCCAUGUUUACAAUAGUUUUAUAAGAUUUUGGUAUGAUUUGAUUAGAACUAACCCGGACUGACGAUGUUUUCAGCAGAACUACCGUGGUGUUGUUUUUGUGCAGAAAUAAAAGUUCUCGGAAUGCGCUGAAAAUGAACGGAGAUUUUUUUGGAAAAUAUAAAAAAUACUAGAACAAAAAUCUACCGGAAGGGAGUCCCAUGGGCCCCAUGAGGGUGGGGGCGUGCCCACCCCCCUAGGGCGCGCCCCUGUGCCUCAUGGACUUCCUAUGGGGCCCCCUGACUUGUCCUCAACGCCAACCUCUCCUAUAAGUGCCCAAACUUCCUGAAAAUAACCUAGAUCAGAAGUUCCACCGCCGUAGGCCUCUGUAGCCACGAGAAAUCAAUCUAGGCCCUCUCUGGCACCCUGACGGAGGGGGCCAUCACCACCGGAGUCCAUGGGGAAGGAUCUCGGAGGGUCCAUCAUAGCCAUGAAGGCCAAGGACCAGAGGAGGAACCUCUCCCCAUCUAGGGGGAGGCCAUUAAGAAGGAAGCACAAGGGGAAGAACCUUUCCUCCUCUCUCUCGGUGGCGCCGGAGUGCCAUCAGGAGGGGAAUCAUCGCCGCGGUGAUCGUCUUAAUCAACAUCACCCUCAUCAUCACCAUCCUCAUCUCUUUGACGUGGUCCACUCUCCCGCACCCCGCUGUAAUCCCUACUUGAACAUGGUGCUUUAUGCCACAUAUUAUGAUCCAAUGAUGUGUUUCCAUCCUAUGAUGUUUCGAGUAGAUAUCCUUUGUCUUUGGUUUGAUUGAUGAUCUAGAUUGGUAUGAGUUGUAUGUUUUAUUUUGGUGUUGUCCUAUUGUGCCCUCCGUGUCGCGCAAGCGUGAGGGAUUCCCAUUGUAGGGUGUUGCAAUAUGUCCAUGGUUUACUUAUUGUCUGUGUUGCUUGAGUGACAGAUGCUUGCUAGAGUUCCAAUCAUAAGUGCAUAUGAUCCAAGAAGAGAACGUAUGUUAGCUUAUGCCUCUCUCUCAUAUGAAAUUGCAAUAGUGAUUACUGGUCUUGUUAACAAUUGCCUAGGAUAAUUCCUUACACUGAACCAUCAUUAUUCCACACUUGCUAUUUAUAAUAUUUAGUAAUAUAUUCUAAGUUUAUGAUAACAACACCUACUUUUAUAUUUUAGCUCUCCGAUAUCAUGCAAAGUUAUCCUCUUCAUUCCCACAACAUAGUUUUAUUUCUCGUUUCUAGUUGGAAGCAAAUGUUUGGUGUAUGUAGAGUCGUAUCAGUGGUAGAUAGGACUUGAGAGAAUAUUGAUCUUACCUUUAGCUCCUUGUGGGUUCGACACUCCAUGCUUAUCACUUCCACCUUUGGAAAUUGCUAUGAUGAUUCCCUUCAUUUGGGGAUUAUCAAGCUCUUUUUUGGCGCCGUUGCCGGGGAGCAAUAGCAUGGGGUUGAUAUUCUCGUGUGUGCUUGUUUGCUUUCUUCACGAAGUAGUUUUUGUUUUCCCUUUUAGUUUUUCCUAGUUGUGGGUGAAACAUACAAAAAAUACAAAAAAAUGACAAUACAAAAAGAUGCACUUGCCUCAUAUGCCUAAAAAGUUUUUCAAAAAAGAGAAGUGAUUGGAAAGUUAUGCAUUGAAGAAGUGAGGGUCGACCUUGAGCACUUGUGUUCAUGCUCAUGGAAACAAUGUAGAAUUUUUCAUGGAAGCUUCUCUAUAAAUAAUUAUCCCCUUGUAUAUAUCCAUUGUAUUAUAAAAACAAUGUGCCAAGCUUUGGUUUUAGGAUGAUUAGAUUGCUUGUUACUAUGUGCAUUACAAAAACAGAAACUUUGGCUGUAGAGCGUGAAUUUACAUUUUGUUUUACUGGAAAGUCAAAUGGGUCUGAAACUUUUUGCACAUUACUUCUGUACAAAUUGUUUAAAUUUUCAUAUUUUAUUUAGAAUUUUUAGAGUUACAGAAGAAUACUUAAUUUCCAAAUUACUACAGAUUGUCCUGUUUUUUGACAAAUUCUGUUUUCUAUGUGUUGUUUGCUUAUUUUGAUGAAUCCAUGGGUAGUNNNNNNNNNNNNNNNNNNNNNNNNNNNNNNNNNNNNNNNNNNNNNNNNNNNNNNNNNNNNNNNNNNNNNNNNNNNNNNNNNNNNNNNNNNNNNNNNNNNNNNNNNNNNNNNNNNNNNNNNNNNNNNNNNNNNNNNNNNNNNNNNNNNNNNNNNNNNNNNNNNNNNNNNNNNNNNNNNNNNNNNNNNNNNNNNNNNNNNNNNNNNNNNNNNNNNNNNNNNNNNNNNNNNNNNNNNNNNNNNNNNNNNNNNNNNNNNNNNNNNNNNNNNNNNNNNNNNNNNNNNNNNNNNNNNNNNNNNNNNNNNNNNNNNNNNNNNNNNNNNNNNNNNNNNNNNNNNNNNNNNNNNNNNNNNNNNNNNNNNNNNUAAUAUUAAAUUGAAAUGAGUUUGCAACAGUACCUAAAGGUAGUGAUUUGCUUUAUUAUACUAAUGGAUCUCAUAAGUUUUUGUUCAGUUUUGUGUGGAUUAAGUGUUCGAAGAAUGAGGAGUUCCGAUGUGAGAAGAAUAAAGAGAGGCAAGAGUUCAAGCUUGGGGAUUCCCAAGGCACCCCAAGUAAAUAUUUCAAGUAUACUCAAGCAUCCAAGCUUGGGGAUACCCCGGUUGGCAUCCCAUCUUUCUUCUUCAACAAUUAUCGGCAUACCUCGAUUUUUGUUUUAUUCGCAUGAUUUGUACCCUUUGUGUUUUUCUUUUUCUUUAGGAACCAUACUAGUAUGAGAUAGCCCUUCAUUGAUUUAUAGAAUGCUUCAUGUGCUUCACUUAUAUCUUUUGAGUAUGGUCUUAUAGAAUUACUCUUUGUGCUUCACUUAAAUCUCUUGAGUAUGGUUUAAUAGAAUGCUUCGUGUGCUUCACUUAUAUAUUUUGAGCUUGAAUAUUGGUUAGUCUAAAUUAAUUGUAGAAUGCUCAAUGAGCUUCACUUAUAUCUUUUGGAGUAUGAAUAAUACUAUUAUCAAAAGUGGGUUUGGAAGAGUGUCAACCUUUGGAAGUAACAAUCCCACUAUUUUGGAGAGGUCUUGACUUUAGUUAGUAAUGAUUCCAUUGUUUUGGAAGAGGUUCCAAUUGAUUAUGUGAACAAAGUUGCUACCUAUGAUUGUUAUUGUGAUGACAUGUAUACUAUAAGGGAAUAUGUUAACCAUGAAACUUGUCAUCAUCAUUUUAAAUUUCAAUUGGAUUGUGCCUCAUAUGACAUUUAUUUUGUUGAGUUUGCUCCCAAUAUUCCGAAUGAGAAGAAUUUUGCUUAUGUGGAGUGUAGUAAAAUUUCUAUUCUUGUAGAUCAUGAAAAGAAUGCUUUAUGAGAGGGUUAUAUUGUUGAAUUGAUUCAUGAUGGUACUGAAAAUUAUGAUGAGGGAGGAAUAUAUGCUUGUAGGAGUUGCAAUAAUAUCAAGUUUCCUCUCUAUGUGCUUAACGUUUUGAAAUUAUACUUAUUUUGCCCUCCUAUGCUAGUUGAUCCUUGUUCCUAUAAGUUGUGUGCUCACAAAAUCCCUAGUCAUAGGAAGUGGGUUAGGUUUAAAUGUGCUAGUCAUAUUCUUCAUGAUGCUCUUGCUACGUCUUGAGCUUGCGUUGGUUUUCCUUGAAGAGGAAAGGGUGAUGCAGCACAGUAGCGUAAGUAUUUCCCUCAGUUUUUGAGAACCAAGGUAUCAAUCCAGUAGGAGGCUCCUCACAAGUCCCACGAACCUACACAAACAAACAAAGAACUUGCAACCAACGCGAUAAAGGGGUUGUCAAACCCUUCACGGCCACUUGCGAAAGUGAGAUCUGAUAGAGAUAAUAUGAUAAGAUAAAUAUAUUUUUGGUAUUUUGUAAUAUAGAUGCAAAAAGUAAAGAUGCAAAUAAAAGUAGAUUGAAAGCUUAUAUGAUAAAGGAUAGACCCGGGGGCCAUAGGUUUCACUAGAGGCUUCUCUCAAGAUAGCAUAAGUAUUACGGUGGGUGAACAAAUUACUGUCGAGCAAUUGAUAGAAAAGCAAAUAAUUAUGAGAUUAUCUAGGCAUGAUCAUGUAUAUAGGCAUCACGGCCGUGACAAGUAGACCAACUCCUGCCUGCAUCUACUACUAUUACUCCACACAUCGACCGCUAUCCAGUAUGCAUCUAGAGUAUUAAGUUCAUAAGAACAGAGUAACACAUUAAGAAAGAUGACAUGAUGUAGAGGGAUAAACUCAAGCAAUAUGAUAUAAACCCCAUCUUUUUAUCCUCGAUGGCAACAAUACAAUAUUUGCCUUGCAACCCUUUCUGUCACUGGGUAAGGACACCGUAAGAUUGAACCCAAAGCUAAGCACUUCUCCCAUGGCAAGAAAGAUCAAUCUAGUAGGCCAAACCAAACCGAUAAUUCGAAGAGACUUGCAAAGAUAACUCAAUACAUAAAAGAAUUCAGAGAAGAUUCAAAUAUUAUUCAUAGAUAAACUUGAUCAUAAACCCACAAUUCAUCGGAUCUCAACAAACACACCGCAAAAAGAGUUUACAUCAAAUAGAUCUCCACAAGAGAGGGGGAGAACAUUGUAUUAGAUCCAAAAAGAGAGAAGAAGCCAACUAGCUCAUAACUAUGGACCCGAAGGUCUGUGGUAAACUACUCACAACUCAUCGGAAGGGCUAUGGUGUUGAUAUAGAAGCCCUCCGUAGUGGAUUCCCCCUCCGACAGAACACCGGCGACGGCUCCAAGAUGGGAUCUCGCGGAUACAGAAGGUUGCGGUGGCGGAAAUAUUUCUUCGGUGGCUCCCUGGAUGUUUUCGGGGUACGUAGGCUUAUAUAGGAGGAAGAAGUAUGUCGGUGGCCACCCGAGGGGCCCACGAGACAGGGGGCACACCCAGGAGGGGUGGGUGCACCCUCCACCCUCGUGGGCGCCUCGGCUGCUUCUUCGCUCACACUCCAAGUCAUGUGGAUCAGGUUUGUUCCAAAAAUCACGCUCCCGAAGGUUUCAUUCCGUUUGGACUCCGUUUGAUAUUUCUUUUCUUCGAAAUACUGAAAUAGGCAAAAAAACAGCAAUACGGGCUAGGCCUCCGGUUAGUAGGUUAGUCCCAAAAAUGAUAUAAUUCUGUAAAAUAAAGCCAUAAACAUCCAAAACAGGUAAUAUAAUAGUAUGGAACAAUGAAAAAUUAUAGAUACGUUGGAGACGUAUCAAGCAUCCCCAAGCUUAAUUCCUGCUCGUCCUCGAGUAGGUAAAUGAUAAAAUCAGAAUUUUUGAUGUGAAAUGCUACCUAGCAUAAUUCUCAAUGUAAUUUCUCUUUAAUGUGGCAUGAAUGUUCAGAUCCAAAUGAUUCAAAAUAAAAGUUCAUAUUGACAUAAGAAAUAGUAACACUUCAAGCAUACUAAUAAAAGCAAUCAUGUCUUCUCAAAAUAACAUGGCUAAAGAAAGUUCAUCCCUACAAAAUCAUAUGGUUAGGCUAUGCUUCAUUUUCAUCACACAAAGAUGUUCCUAACUUCUAUACCCCCGAUGACAAGCCAAGCAAUUGUUUCGUACUUAAAUAAUCUCAAACUUUUUCAACCUUCACACAAUACAUGAGCGUGAGCCAUGGAUGUAGCACUAUGGGUGGAAUAGAAUAAUGAUUGGGGAUUGUGUGGAGAAGACAAAAAAGGAGAAAGUCUCACAUUGACGAGGAUAAUCAACAGGCUAUGGAGAUGCCCAUCAAUUGAUUUCAACAUGAGGAGUAGGGAUUGCCAUGCAACGGAUGCACCAGAGCUAUAAAUGAAUGAAAAGCUCAACAAAAGAAAACUAGUUGGUGUGCAUCCAACUUGCUUGCUCAUGAAGACCUAGGGCAUUUGAGGAAGCCCAUCGUAGGAAUAUACAAGCCAAGUUCUAUAAUGAAAAAUUCCCACUAGUAUAUGAAAGUGACAGCAUGUGAGGCUCUCUAUAUGAAAAACAUGGUGCUACUUUGAAGCACAAUAUAUGAGACUCACUACAUGAAGAACAAGGUGCUACUUUGAAGCACAAGUGUGGAAAAAGAGAUAGUAGCAUUGCCCCUUUUUAUUUUCUUUAUUUUAUUUUUCUUCUUUUUUUUUCUUUUUUUUGGGACUUUUUUUUGCCUUUCUUCUUUUUUUCUUUUUGGGCAAUGCUCUAAUAAUGAUGAUCAUCACACUUUUAUUGAUUACAACAUAGGAAUUACAACUCGAAACUAGAACAAGAUAUGACUCUAUAUGAAUGCCUUCGGCGGUGUACCGGGAUGGUGCAAUGAAUCAAGAGUGACAUGUACGAAAAUUAUGCAUGGUGGCUUUGCCACAAAUACGAUGUCAACUACAUGAUCACGCAAUGGAAAUAUGACAAAAGUAAUGUAUGUCAUGAUGAUGAUGAACGGAACGGUGGAAAGUUGCAUGGCAAUAUAUCUCGGAAUGGCUAUGGAAAUGCUAUAAAUAGGUAGGUAUGGUGGCUGUUUUGAGGAAGAUAUAGGGAGGUUUAUGUGUGAUAGAGCGUAUCAUAUCAUGGGGUUUGGAUGCACCGGCGAAGUUUGCAUCAACUCUCAAUGUGAGAAAGGGCAAUGCACGGUACCGAAGAGGUUGCAAUGAUGGAAAGGUAAAAGUGUGUAUAAUCCAUGGACUCAACAUUAGUCAAAAGAACUCAUAUACUUAUUGCAAAAAAAUUGAAGUCAUCAAAAGCCAAUCACUAUGCGCAUGCUCCUAGGGGGAUAGAUUGGUAGGAAAAGACCAUCGCUUGUCCCUGACCGCCACUCAUAAGGAUGCACAAGCCAGGUACACUUCAUGUUUCAAAUUUGUUACACAACUUUAACCAUACAUGCAUGCUACAGGACUUGCUAACUUCAACACAAGCAUUCUUUAAAUUCAUGAUCACCCAAUUAGCAUGACUUUAAUAUCACUACCUCCAUAUCUCAAAACAAUUAUCAAGUAUCAAGUUGAUCAUAGCAUCCAAUUCACUUCCUAUGAUAGUUUUUAUUAUACCCAACUUGGAUGCUCAUCAUUCUAGGACCAAUUUAUAACCAUAGUAAAUACCAUGCUGUUCUAAAAUACUCUCAAAAUAAUAUAAGUGAAGCAUGAGAGAUCAAAAAUUUCUUAAAAAUUAAUCCACCGUCGUGCUCUAAAAGAUAUAAGUGAAGCACUAGAGCAAAACUAUCUAGCUCAAAAGAUAUAAGUGAAGCACAUAGAGUAUUCUAAUAAAUUUCAACCGAGUAGGAUUCUCCCAAAAGGUGUGUUACAGCAAGGAUGAUUGUGGUAAACUAAAAAUCAAAGACUAAUAUAAUACAUGAUGCUCCAAGCAAAACACAUAUCAUGUGGCGAAUAAAAAUAUAGCUCCAAGUAAAGUUACCGAUGAACGAAGAUGAAAGAGGGGAUGCCUUCCGGGGGCAUCCCCAAGCUUAGGCUUUUGGCUAUUAUUGAAUAUCUUGGGGUGCCUUAGGCAUACCCAAGCUUAGGCUUUUGCCACCCUUUAUUCCAUAGUCCAUCAAAUCUCUACCCAAAACUUGAAAACUUCACAACACAAAACUCAACAGGAAAUCUCAUAAGCUCCGUUAGUGAAAGAAAACAAAACCACCACAUAAGUACUGUAAUGAACUCAUUCUUUAUUUAUAAUGGUGUUAAACCUACUGUAUUCCAAGUUCUCUAUGGUUCAUACCCUUACAUACUAGCCAUAGAUGCAUCAAAAUAAGCAAACAACACACGAAAAACAGAAUCUGUCAAAAACAGAAAAGUCUGUAGCAAUCUGUAACUAACGCAAACUUCUGGAACCUUAAAAAUCCUACAAAAAUAGAAAGUCCUAAACAAUUUGUUUAUUGAACAGCAGAAAAAAUAAUAAAUGCAAAAUCUCGUUCCUGUGAUUUAUUGAAUUUUUUCUCGUGAGCGCAACGUUUCUGUUUUUCAGCAGAAUCAAAUCAACUAUCAUCAUAGGUUAUCCUAUAGGUUCUACUUGGCACAAACACUAAAUAAAACAUGAAAACACAUCUAAACAGAAAGUAGAUGCAAAAUUUAUUACUAAACAGGAACAAAAACAAAAGACACAAAGAAAAUUGGGUUGCCUCCCAACUAGCGCUAUUGUUUAACGCCCCUAGCUAGGCAUAAAAGCGAAGAUAGAUCUAAGUAGUGCCAUCUUUAAUUUUCAGUUUUUUAGCAGAGUCAUGCUCGAAUCCGGGAGGUUCUUUAUGUUUCCCUUCAUACUCGGAAAUUUUUAGAUCUAAAGAAUCCAACCGCUUAUUGCAAGGGUGAUCAACAUAUUCAUGCGGUGAAGAUUUCCGCUAACACUUUUAAGAGGCUCAAGAGAUUUUUGUAAAAAAAUUGUUAGUUCGCAAAUAUUCCCAAACACUUGGGUUUCUUCUUGGGUAGGAUGUGGUCCUCCCUUUUGAGGUAGUGUUCCCACUAUCCCCUCUAUAAUUUCAUGCGCAAUACUAGGAUCAAUUUCAACGAAAUUUCCCUUGGCAAUGCAGUCCAAGAGUUGUCUAUCCGUCAUGUUUAGCCCAACAUAAAAAUUGCGAAGAAGAAUUGUAAAGUUCACCUCUAGGGUGCACUUGCGAUAAGAUUCCAUCAUCCUAUACCAAGCAUCUUUUAAAUUUUCUCCUUGCCUUUGUUUGAAGUGAAGAACUUCAAAUUUGGGAGACAUAGGAGCAGAUAAGGAACUAGCCAUAACGAUAAGGUAAAGGAUCUAACACACGAGCAAACGGAAAAAGGCAAGCGAAAGAGAGAGGAAGAAGAAGGCAAGCGGAAAAGAGAGGAGAUUGGGAAAGAGAGGGCAAAUAAAACAGCAAGGGUGAAGUGGGGGAGAGGAAAAUGAGAGGCAAAUGGCAAAUAAUGUAAAUGCGAGGGAGAUGAGUUUGUGAUGGGUACUUGGUAUGUGUUGACUUGAGCGAAGACCUCCACGGAAACGGCGCCAGAAAUCGCACGUUGGCGGGAGGUCGAAUCUUGACUUGACUUGGUGGAAGACUCCCCGGCAACGGCGCCAGAAAUCCUUCUUGCUACGUCUUGAGCUUGCGUUGGUUUUCCUUGAAUAGGAAAGGGUGAUGCAGCAGAGUAGCGUCAGUAUUUCCCUCCGUUUUUGAGAACCAAGGUAUCAAUCCAGUAGGAGGCUCCUCACAAGUCCCACAAACCUACACAAACAAACAAAGAACUCGCAACCAACGCGAUAAAGGGGUUGUCAAUCCCUUCACGGUCACUUGCGAAAGUGAGAUCUGGUAGAGAUAAUAUGAUAAGAUAAAUAUAUUUUUGGUAUUUUGUAAUAUAGAUGCAAAAAGUAAAGAUGCAAAUAAAAGUAGAUUGAAAGUUUAUAUGAUAAAGGAUAGACCCGGGUGCCAUAGAUUUCACUAGAGGCUUCUCUCAAGAUAGCAUAAGUAUUACGGUGGGUGAACAAAUUACUGUCGAGCAACUGAUAGAAAAGCGAAUAAUUAUGAGAUUAUCUAGGCAUGAUCAUGUAUAUAGGCAUCACGUUCGUGACAAGUAGACCGACUCCUGCCUGCAUCUACUACUAUUACUCCACACAUCGACCGCUAUCCAGCAUGCAUCUAGAGCAUUAAGUUCAUAAGAACAGAGUAAGGCAUUAAGAAAGAUGACAUGAUGUAGAAGGAUAAACUCAAGCAAUAUGAUAUAAACCCCAUCUUUUUAUCCUCGAUGGCAACAAUACAAUACGUGCCUUGCAACCCUUUCUGUCACUGGGUAAGGACACCGCAAGAUUGAACCCAAAGCUAAGCAUUUCUCCCAUGGCAAGAAAGAUCAAUCUAGUAGGCCAAACUAAACCGAUAAUUCGAAGAGACUUGCAAAGAUAACUCAAUCAUACAUAAAAGAAUUUAGAGAAGAUUCAAAUAUUAUUCAUAGAUAAACUUGAUCAUAAACCCACAAUUCAUCGGAUCUCGACAAACACACCGCAAAAAGAGUUUACAUCGAAUAGAUCUCCACAAGAGAGGGGGAGAACAUUGUAUUGAGAUCCAAAAAGAGAGAAGAAGCCAACUAACUAAUAACUAUGGACCUGAAGGUCUGUGGUAAACUACUCACAACUCAUCGGAAGGGAUAUGGUGUUGAUGUAGAAGCCCUCCAUGGUGGAUUCCCCCUCCGGCAGAACGCCGGUGACGGCUCCAAGAUGGGAUCUCGCGGAUACAGAAGGUUACGAUGGCGGAAAUAUUUCUUUGGUGGCUCCGUGGAUGUUUUCGGGGUACGUAGGCUUAUAUAGGAGGAAGAAGUACAUCGGUGGCCGCCCGAGGGGCCCACAAGACAGGGGGCGCCCAGGAGGGGUGGGCGCGCCCUCCACCCUCGUGGCCGCCUCGGCUGCUUCUUGGCUUGCACUCCAAGUCCUCUGGAUAACGUUUGUUCCAAAAAUCAUGCUCUCGAAGGUUUCAUUCUGUUUGGACUCCGUUUGAUAUUCCUUUUCUAUGAAAAUACUGAAAUAGGCAAAAAAACAGCAAUACUGGCUGGGCCUCCGGUUAGUAGGUUAGUCCCCAAAAUGAUAUAAUUGUGUAAAAUAAAGCCCAUAAACAUCCAAAACAGGUAAUAUAAUAGCAUGGAACAAUCAAAAAUUAUAGAUACGUUGGAGACGUAUCAGCUCUCUUUAUGUUUCAACUCUUAUCUUUUAUGUGGGCAUCAUUGAAAUCAUCACGCCUAGCUAAAAGGCAUUAAAGAAAAGCGCUUGUUGGGAGACAACCCAAUAUUUACCCUUAUUGUUUUUGUGUGGUCACAUGAUUAAGCUACUGCAGUAAUCAUGUUUUAUCGCUUUUGUUCCAAUAAAGUGCCAAGUACGACCUUUGGAAAGACUUGGGUGAAAGUUAAUGUGAUCUUGCUGUAAAAAACAUAAACUUUCUGCUCACGAGAUUAGCUGUCAUUUUUUACAGAAGAGUGAUUUUGAGUUGAUUCUUUUUGAAGAAGGUUAAUAGGAAAAUUCCUCACGUCCACCAAUUUAUCUAAUAAUUUUUGGAGUAGCAGAAUUAUGGUUGAUGUUCAGAUCAUUACAGACUGUUCUGUUUCUGACAGAUUUUGUUUUCAUUGCAUAGUUUGCUUGUUUUCGAGUUUCUGUGGCUUAUAUUUCUCAAUAUAAAUUGUAGAAAUGAUAUGGUACAGUAGGCAUUGUGUGAUAACAAUUAUGAAUCUUGUCUCUAACAGUACCAAAGUGAAUGAUUUACUCUUUAUCAUACUAACCCAUCUCACGAAGUUCCGUUAAGUUUUGUGUGAUUGAUGUUGUCAAGUUUGAGUGAGAAAUCGAUAUGAGGAGAAUAAGGAGUUGAAAGAACCUAAGCUUGGGAAUGCCCAAGGCACCCCAAGGUAGUAUUAAAAUAAGACUCAAGCACUUAAGCUUGGGGAUGCCCCGGAAGGCAUCCUCUCUUUCGUCUUCAAAACUAUCGGUAUACCUUACUCGGAGCUAUAUUUUUAUUCGUCACAUGAUAUAUGUUUUGCUUGGAGCGUAUUUUCAAUUCUACUUAGCGUUUUAAUAAAAUCAUUGGAUCUGAAAUCUUGAAUGAAAAAGAAUCCUCCCAUGGCUAGUUAAUUAUUUGACUACUCAGUGUUCUUCACUUAUAUCUUUUUGGAGUAGUUUGUCAUUUACUCACGUGCUUCAUGAAUAUCCUAUGAGUAAAUGGUUGAAUAAAUUGAAUAUCAUAAAUCUGAAUUUAUAUAUGUUUCAUAUGCUUAUACCAUGAGGAGUAAUGACUUCACACAUAAUAAGUAUAGGUAGUAAACUUAUUGAAAGUUAGCGAACGCAGAAUUGGUCACUUGAACAAUUCAUGAAAGAAUAUUGAAGGAAGAGAGAUUUCACAUAUAAAUAUACUAUCUUGGACAUCUUUUGUAAUUGUGAGCCCUCAUUAAAAUAUGACAUGCUAAAAGGUUGAUGUUGGAAAAGGAAGACAACUUAAUUGGUUAUGUUUUCCUAUAUCCGAAACGUUAUAUUGUCUUGGAUCAUCCAACAUGUUGAGCUUGCCUUUCCCUCUCAUGCUAGCCAAAUUCUUUGCACCAAAUAGAAAUACUACUUAUGCUUCCAAACAUCCCUUAAACCAGUUUUGCCAUGAGAGUCCACCAUACCUACCUAUGGAUCGAGUAAGAUCCUUCAAGUAAGUUGUCAUCAGUGCAUGCAAUAAAAAUUGCUCCUUCAAUAUGUAUGAUCUAUUAGUGCGAAGAAAAUAAGCUUUAUACGAACUUGUGAUAGGGAAGAAAUAAAAGCGACGGACAGCAUAAUAAUGGUCUUUAUCAUAAGCAGCAAUAUAAAGUGACGUUCUUUUUGCAUUAAGAUUUUGUGCAUCCAACUAUAAAAGCGCAUGACUUCCCUCUGGGAAGGGCCUAUCUUUUACUUUUAUCUUCUACCCUUAUACAAGAGUCAUGGUGAUCAUCACCUUUCCUUUUUACACUUUUUCCUUUGGCAAGCACUUUGUAUUGGAGCGAUCUGGAUAUAUAUAUCCACUUGGAUGUAGGUUUUCAUCAAUUAUUAUUGUUGAUAUUACCCUUGAGGUAAAAGGUUGGGAGGCGAAACUAUAAGCCCCUAUCUUUCCCUGUGUCAGCUUGAAACUUUGAACCCAUAAAUAUCACACGAGUAUUAGCAAUUGUGAAAGAUUAAAUGAUAGUUGAGUAUGUGGAGUUUGCUGAAUCAAAGCUCUUACAUAGACCCUUCCUGAAAAUAAGAUGAAUUGCAAUUGUUUGAUGACUAAGAGCAUGGUUUGUUAGUUUUCAAGAAAGUUUAUGAUCUAUACAUAUACUUUAACAUGUGAAUAGCUUCUUACUUGAUCAUGAGAAGUUUUAUGAGUUGAGCUACUAUUAUGAUAUAUAAUGAUGCUAGAAAAAGUGAUUGAAACUAUCAUUGAUCAAACUUAAGCACUUGCUAGCAUUCACACUUCAUAAGUUAUUUCUUUUAUCAUUUACCUACUCGAGGGCGAGCAGGAAUUAAGCUUGGGGAUGUUGAUACGUCUCCAACGUAUCUAUAAUUUAUGAAGUAUUUAUGCCAUGUUUACAAUAGUUUUAUAUGAUUUUGGUAUGAUUUGAUUAGAACUAAUCCGGACUGACAUUGUUUUCAGCAGAACUACCGUAGUGUUUUUUGUGUGCGGAAAUAGAAGUUCUCAGAAUGCGCUAAAAAUCAACGGAGAUUUUUUUUGGAAAAUAUAAAAAAUACUGGAACAAAAAUCUACCAGAGCGGAGUCCUGUGAGCCCCAUGAGGGUGGGGGGUGCGCCCACCCCCUAGGGCGCGCCACUGUGCCUCGUGGACUUCUCGUGGGGCUCCCUAACUUGUCCUCGAUGCCAACCUCUCCUAUAAAUGCCCAAACUUCCAGAAAUUAACCUAGAUCAGAAGUUCUGCCGCCGCAAGCCUUUGUAGCCAUGAGAAAUCAAUCUAGGUCCUCUCUGGCACCCUACCGGAGGGGGCCAUCAUCAUCGGAGGCCAUGGGGAAGGAUCUCGGAGGGGCCAUCAUAGCCAUGAAGGCCAAGGACCAGAGGGGGAAUCUCUCCCCAUCCAAGGGGGAUGCCAUGAAGGAGGAAGCACAAGGGGGAGAACCUCUCAUCCUCUCUCUCGGUGGCGCCGGAGUGCCAUCGGGAGGGAAAUCAUCGCCGCGGUGAUCGUCUUCAUCAACAUCACCCUCAUCAUCACCAUCCUCAUCUCUUUUACGCGGUACACUCUCCCACACCCUCCUGUAAUCCCUACUUGAAUAUGGUGCUUUAUACCACAUAUUAUGAUCCAAUGAUGUGUUGCCAUCCUAUGAUGUUUUGAGUAGAUAUCCUUUGUCUUUGGGUUGAUUGAUGAUCUAGAUUGGUAUGAGUUGUAUGUUUUAUUUUGGUGCUGUCCUAUUGUGCCCUCUGUGUCGCGCAAGCGUGAGGGUUUCCCGCUGUAGGGUGUUGCAAUAUGUCCAUGGUUUACUUAUUGUCUGUGUUGCUUGAGUGACAGAAGAAUAAACACGGAUAAGUGGGUCACGGCGUAUGGGAAUAAAGGGGACUUGAUAUGUUAAUGCUAUGGUUGGGUUUUACCUUAAUGAUCUUUAGUAGUUGCGGAUGCUUACUAGAGUUCCAAUCAUAAGUGCAUAUGAUCCAAGAAGAGAAAGUAUGUUAGCUUAUGCCUCUCCCUCAUAUGAAAUUGCAAUAGUGAAUACCGAUCUUGUUAACAAUUGCCUAGGAUAAUUCCGCACACCGAACCAUCAUUAUUCCACACUCGCUAUUUAUAAUAUUUAGUAAUAUAUUCUAAAUUUAUGAUAACAACACCUACUUUUAUAUUUUAGCUCUCUGAUAUCAUGCAAAGUUAUCCUCUUCAUUCCCACAACAUAGUUUUAUUUCUCGUUUCUAGUUGUAAGCAAAUGUUCGGUGUACGUAGAGUCGUAUCAGUGGAAGAUAGGAAUUGAGAGAAUAUUGAUCUUACCUUUAGCUCCUUGUGGGUUCAACACUCUGUGCUUAUCACUUCCACCUUUGGAAGUUGCUACGAUGAUUCCUUGCACUUGGGGAUUAUCAAGAUUUUAUUGUUCUUGAUAUUGACUGCCAUUCGUCUUUUUCAAUUAUUCUUGGUAGACCGUUUUUACAUACUAUUGGUGUCGUGAUUGAUAUGAAAGAAGGCAAUAUUAAAUUUCAAUUUCCAUCAAGGAAGGGUAUGGAACACUUCCCUGGAACAAGAAUUAAUCCACCUUAUGAAUCAAUCAUGAGGGCAUCUUAUGGAUCUAGAAAUAAAGAUGACAACACUUAGAUCUUUGCAUUAUGCCUAGCUAGGGGUAUAGAACGAUAGCGCUUGUUGGGAGGCAACCCAAUGAAUAAAAUUUAAUUUUGUCUUUUCAUUUAUGUUCUUGAGUGUUUGCAAAAUUAUGCUACUGUUAUGAUUGUGUUUUUUAUGUUUUAAUUAGUGUUUGUGCCAAGCAAAGCCUUUGGGAUCAUGUUGGAUGAUAGUUGAUUUGAUCUUGUUGAAAAACAGAAACUUUUGCGUCCAGAAAAACAAUUUUAAAAAAUCACAGAGAUGUGAUUUUGCUCUGAUUUUUUUUCAAAAGAUUGGUAUACAAAUUGCCCACAUUGUUCUAAUUUUCAGAAUUUUUGGAGUUACAUAAGUAUUUGAAGUUCUCAGAUUGCUAGAAAUUGUUCUGUUUUUGACAGAUUCUGUUUUCUUUGCGUUGUAUGUGUUUUCGAUGAGUCUAUGGUUUGUAUUGGAGGGUAUAAGCUAUAGUAAAGUCGUAAUAAAAUAGAUAUAAUGCAAAAAUAAAAUAUGAAUGACACUACAAAAAAAGACACAUCUGUGACAUUUUGGGCCGAACGAGAUUUUUUUCUGUCAUACAUAUGACACUUCUAUGACGAUAAUUGUGACCAAACCCGGUAUCAUCAUAGAUGUGGUGGGCUCCUACUUCUAUGACAAAAAAUCAUGACGGAAAAUGGGCGGGCCGGAGACGCAGCUGUAUGACAUUAUUUGGGCCGUCCAUGAUGGAAAAAACCAUGGUAGAAGCGAGGGGGAGGAAAAUUUCGGGGAGUUGCCGGUUACGGUGGGAGGUCGGGGGCCGAGCGAUGCACGUUUCUCUCAUAGUACGCGUGUGUGUGUGUGAGGCGUUGGCUCUAACUGAAGCCGAGCGAGGCGUUGGGCUCUAACUGAACCCGAGCGAUUGCACUACAGGCUACGCGUUACUGAACCCGAGCGAUUGAUCGAUGGCUGUUAACUGAACCUGAUGGANNNNNNNNNNNNNNNNNNNNNNNNNNNNNNNNNNNNNNNNNNNNNNNNNNNNNNNNNNNNNNNNNNNNNNNNNNNNNNNNNNNNNNNNNNNNNNNNNNNNNNNNNNNNNNNNNNNNNNNNNNNNNNNNNNNNNNNNNNNNNNNNNNNNNNNNNNNNNNNNNNNNNNNNNNNNNNNNNNNNNNNNNNNNNNNNNNNNNNNNNNNNNNNNNNNNNNNNNNNNNNNNNNNNNNNNNNNNNNNNNNNNNNNNNNNNNNNNNNNNNNNNNNNNNNNNNNNNNNNNNNNNNNNNNNNNNNNNNNNNNNNNNNNNNNNNNNNNNNNNNNNNNNNNNNNNNNNNNNNNNNNNNNNNNNNNNNNNNNNNNNNNNNNNNNNNNNNNNNNNNNNNNNNNNNNNNNNNNNNNNNNNNNNCGCGCGGUGGAGGCUGGAUGAACAGGAGCCUGUGGAGGUUGGAGGAGGUCGACGGUAGCCCGUGGAGGCUGGAGGAGGUCGACGGUGGAGAUGAACAGUAUCCCAUGGAGUCCCAUUUUGCGGUAUGCCACACCCCUCCCCCCGUUUCGACCGUAGCGCUCCAACACAAGUCCGUUUCGUCCGUUUUGCGGUACGCCACACCCCUCCCGAUCAACAGGACCCCCGUUUCGACCGUAGGAGGUCCGUUUCCUCCGCUUUGCGGUACGCCAGGCCCCUCCCGAUCAACAGGACCCCGUUUCGACCGUAGGAGGUCCGUUUCCUCCGUUUUGUGGUACGCCAGACCCCUCCCGAUGAACAUGAUCCCAUUUCGAACGUGGCCGGUCGAACAAAAGGCCGUUUCCUUCGUUGUGCGGUACGCCAGGCCUCGUUUCCAUCGCCUGUUCAGUCCAAGCCCUCCCGAUGAACACGACCACGCAUUUGGUUCCGACCUAGCCGGUUGGCUCCCACGCGUUCCGUUGCCUCCCAAUGAACACGACGCAUUCCGUUGCCUCCCCAUGAACACGACGAUGACGAUGUUUCUCCGUUCCGACCCAGCCAUGUACAUAUGCGCGAGUAGGCGUACGCUUCGACCAGGUGGGUCCCAACUGUCAGGCACUUCCUUGCCUGCGAAGAUGUAGCUGGUGGGUCCCAGCAGUCAGGGGGGCGAAUCGUUUUUUUUGCCCGGACGCACUUCCUUGCGUGCGAAGAUGUAGCUGGUGGGUCCCAGCAGUCAGGGGGCGAAUUGUUUUUUUUGCCCGGACACACUUCCUUGCGUGUGAACAUGUAGCUGGUGGGUCCCACCAGUCAGGGGAAACAUUUUUUUCACAAAAUACGAUGGCCCGUCCGGUGGGUCCCCGCUGUCAGGUGGAGGAAUAAUUAUUUUGCGCGUAAUAAGGAGGCACUUCCUUGCGGCCGCCGUGGACCCAGCUGUCAGCCUCUCCACGCACAGUACUCUUCCGAUGGAAGUUGGUCGUUGGCCACAUUGACCACGCCGUGCCGAGAGCACCACGGCGGUGGACGAUGGCGAGGCCUAGAAGGGGAUGACGCGGAGCCGGGGAAGACGCAGCAGUGGAUGCCCACGCGAAGAGGAGUACGAGGGUGAGGCUGUCGUCGCCGCAGAAUAACAGGGGGUGUGGGUGAGUAGAGGGAUGGCCUGGCCAGCGGUGGGAGUAGUAGAGGGUGGUGAGGCCUCCGCGGCAUCACAGCCGGCCAUGGGAGGCAGGAGCACGCGGCACGACCGAUGCUGCUUUGGGCGGCUGGAGCACGAAGACCAGAGGUUCAAGAAGCACUACGGCCGUUGGAUGGACAUCGUACGGUCACUGGAGCUAGAGUUGUUCAUAUUGACUAAGUUGACAAAGGCCUCCGUCCCCGUAAACUUAGUAGGCCCACAAGUCAGCCUCCCACCAAGGUGAGUCCCAGCUAGCAGGGGGAGUAUUCAUUUUUUUGUGCAUAAUAAGGAGGCAUUUCCGGUGGGUCCGAGCUGACAGCGGGGGGAACGUUUUUUCGCGAAAUACAGAGACCCUUCCGGUGGGUCCCAGCUAUCAGGUGGAGGAAUCAUUAUUUUGCGCGUAAUAAGGAAGCAUUUUCCUUUGUCGGCCCCUACUGUCAGCCUCUUCCGAUGGCUGUUGUUUGUUGACCAUGUUGACCUCGCUGCACCGAGAGCACAAACGUAGUGGACGAGGGCGGGGCCCAGGAAGAGAACCACCCGGAGCCGGCGAAGCCAUCGCACUGGAUGCCCAUGCUGAGGGGAGAACAAGCGCUGACUGGUCGGCUAUGGGGUGAGGCUGACAUCGCCGGAAAAUAACAGGAUGUGUGGGUGGUUAGAGGGAUGGCCUGGCGGAAGCACAUCCAGCCAUGGGAGGAGGGAGCAAGCAGUCCCGCCAGCGCUGGUUUGGGCGGCUGGAGCAGGAAGAUGAGAGAUUGAAGAAGCACGGCGGCCGUUGGAUGGACAUCCAACAGUCACUGCUGUGUGUUGACUAAGUUGACAAAGCCUUGCGUACGCGUCAAAAAAAAAUUUAGGACAGCGUCAUCGUCAACCUAGUAGGCCCAGAAGUCGGCCUCCAAAUCUGUGGAAAACAGCAUACAUCCCAUUAGCCAUUAUUUUCAAUAAUUUACAGCCCAUUUGCUAAUUCUUAAGGAUAUUUGAAGCUCAUAUUCUUUUUAUUAGCAUUACAGACCAUAUAUUCUAGGCACUGCUAAAAAAUUCAAUGAAAUUUUGCAUAUUUUGGUGGGGUCCGAACUCUUUUAAUCACGAAAUUUCGAGUCACGUUAAAAAUAGUUUUCAAAAAAUUAUAUCAAAAUAAAAUUCAAAAAACAAUUCACCGCAAAAAAAUGAAUGAAAUUUAGAAUCUUAACUAGCAAGAUGCCCGUUCGUUGCACGGAACAUGAAGAUGCAUUUGUAUGAGUAGUUUAUCUUGUGGGUGAAAAGAUGAUAUUUUAAUGUAAUUGCCAGUUGGCUUUGGUUUUUAUAAGAGUAGAGAGUAGAGAAAUCUUGGAAAAAAAAGAUAUUUUAAUGCAAUUGCCGGUUGGCUUUGGUUUAAAAAUUUACAGCCCAUUUCUUACAACUUAUAGCCCGUUUUCUGGGGAAGCACAUUUCUUAUCCCUCCUCCUCGUCUUGAAAGAUUUGCAGCCCAGCAGGGCUGAGAAAAGCAAGUAGGCCUCGGUUUUGGUAUUCUCCAAAAAAAAGAACUGGGCUAGCCAAUUUCAGAAAGAAAAAAAUAUCAACUGGGCUCGUCAUGUGCUUAAUAAAAGCGUAAGCGUGGGCUAGACGGGCCACAGCCCCCGCACAGCGCGCAGUUGAGCUCCGUAUCUGAAACUGAAAAACAACUGGGCGAGCUGCUGGGUCCCUGGUGUUAUCCGCUUGUUGUGUAAUUUUCUUGUUUAUUGACUACAUUGACAAUGGCGUGGAACCUAGUUGUCAAACAAUUAGGAGGAAGUAUUGUUUAUGCUUGGAAUAACGAGGCACCGGCUUGCGAAAUGCAAUGACCCUGGUGGGUCCCUAUUGUCAGCCUCUCCACGUACAGUCAUCUCCUGAUUCCUCUUGGUUGUUGACCAUGUUGACAACACCAGACGACGGCGAGCACAGCGAGCUAACCAAGGCGGAGAAUGACGACAAGGCCUCGGACGGAAACAAACAGCAGCCAUGAAAGAUGCGGCAGUGUAGUGGCAGGUCGAGGGGAGUACGAGGGCAACAACAUGCAAGUCAAGCAUACAAAUGGUACAAAAAGCUCAAGGAUUAAUUGUUCAUCAAAUUUCUAGACAAAACCCAGAUUGAACAUGACAGUAACAUCUAACCCAACAACUCUUUUUUGCAGUCACAAACAAAUGGAUCGGUCUGAUCCAUAAAAUCAACAUCCUGUGCAAAAAAAUAUAUUUUAGGAUGUCUACAACUUGUUGUAAAUAGAAGCCGAGCACGUUUAGAAGCCCAUUUGUCCACCUGAAACUUCUUUUUUUGCUGUUCAACAUGUUCAUCCGUGAGAAAUCUCUUGCUAUAAAAAUUAAGCCUCAUGGACAAUAGUAACCUCGCAUUCAACAGGAAGAAUGUGACAAAGCUUCUGUUUGCCUGGUUGGAUGCAUAUCGUCCCAUCGUUAUUGUCCUCAAACGAAUGUCAUGAGAACUGAGAAAAUCCUUGUGCUUAUUACGCCAACGAUUGGUUAUAUGUUUUUCUCCAUGUGGUUCUGCCUAAGUAGACAUGAAGAUUCAAAACAGUUAAGGUCUGAAAAAAAGAGUAUGUCGAAAGAACGACAGCUGAACAGUUAAUUCUAGUACAAUAUAUAUGGGCUUUCAAUGUGGAUGAAAUCAUCACCUCUAUGUAUAAAUUCUCCAGAGAUCGAAAGCAUCGCAGCAAGCCAAUAAUUAUGUCCAGAUCAAAACUAUACAUUCUAAUAUAUAUGAUCUUGACAGAAUCCAGCAGCAUUGAUAGGCUAUCAAUGGCGAACUCUUCAUUGAGCAUAUAACAUAAUAUUAGUACCCAAAGUGUACUACAAGAUGAUAUAAAACUUAUGCGCACAAAUGAAAAAUGCAGCAUAUGAUUACAAAUGUGUAGAUGAUAAUAUACGGUACUUGAAAAGGUGAGGAGCCAAACACCAACUCCGUGUGAUUAUUAAACGGGUCAUGAAUUACACCCAAGGUCUCCAGUUUGGGCGCAAAGACGACAAUUAUUUCUGAAGGUGUAUAACAAUUAUCAAGGGGCAACCUUUCAAGUGAAGGGGCAUCUUCGAUGAUGAGCUGCUGUCCUUCAAAACAAAUUCCAAUGCUGUUAAGGUGAGGCGACUUUAUUUGGAGACAACUGAUACCGAUUUCUAUUCCCAAAACAAUCAGCAAGCGCUCCAAGGCAGGGCAACUGGAGUGGAUGAUGCUGUGCAGUGAGGCCUCCGACAGAUAAACCACCAUAAGCGAAAGUUUUUUUAGCAGUGGGAGUCAAAGCAUUUGUACCAGAUCGUCUGGUAGAUGGCACCGGGCGAAGGUGGCAGUGUGGAGAGAGGAGGAAAACCGUGAGAUGGACAACGGUGGUGUGGGCACUAAUUCUUGGUAUGUUCGUGGUAUGAAACUUUCGUGGUAAUGGUAGAACUCAAAUUGCUGGAGUUUUCCGAAUUCAGGGGAUGUCAGCCAAGCGUCCACCUUGCCGGGUAUGGAUAGCAGGUAGCUUGUCGGGAUGUAGAGGCAUUGAACGGGGCCCUGCUGGUGAGAAGAGACGAUGACUCUGAUGAGAUCAAAUUCAGGAAGGACAGAUAUCUGACGACAGUCGAGAUUGAGGGGCGCGGUGCGCCAUAGAGGGCGCCACCGAGUUGAGAGGACUUGUGUGCGGCAGCAAUCCUUGGUGGGGAGAAGCGAGAUGAUCUCCUCAAGGAUGACGUCCGGGAGAUCGCUGAUGCGGUCCACCAGAGAUUCUAUCGGUUCCCUAGAUCCGGGUGGGGGGGCUCGUCGCUUCUCCCAUGCUACCGGGUGCGGGAUCUACAACCGGCGUCGCCGCUGGCGGGAGCCUCAUCUUCUUGGCGCUGGGGCCAGCCGACUCCAUUUUCCUUGUGGGCGUCGCGCCAAGCUCACGGGUUCGAGCAGAGUAGCCAGAGACGAGCCUAGUGGCAGUGCGAGUGGGGAAGAAGGAGGGCUGGGGAUUUCUGUAGGAGUGGAAGAAGAAGAGCAGGCGUUUUCUGUACGAGUGAGGAAGAAGGUGAGUGGGGUUUUCUGGACGAGUGAGGAAGAUUGGGGAGCAGGGGGAAUUGGGUGGGGAGACGGAAGCGGGAGAGCGAGUUGUUCGUGUUUAUAAGGCACGCUGCACUAACUACUCGCUUUUUCACAAGAACCGCUCUCUUCUUUUGCGUUGCUGCAUGACUGGCCACGCAUGCAGGAUACAUGUGCCCGCCGGCCACUGGAUGCAUCUGGUUUCUUACUAGGCCUAUUUAAUAGGGUGGUUAUGGAGUAAAUUAAGGAGAUUUAUUUUCUCUAUGUGCAUCCACCAAAUUAGAGGAUGUGGUACUGGAUGCAGACACUCACAUUAAACUACCAUUCAGAAGAACAAAAGUUCAGCAUGUCUAUGCAUCUCAAUGAUUCACCAUACUAUAACCAAUAUUCAAAACUGUGAGAAGGUGUGGAAAUAAAGAAAACCGAUCGAUGCUUCUCUGAGCAAAGGGCCUCCCUGCGCACGCAUUAAUUUCCUGGGCAUGCUUGUUUCUUCUCAAUGUUGCAAGCACUUUGAGCAUGUUGGCAACUCCACAGCUAUCUAGCUGCCUCAUCUUGCAAUUGAUGCUGGCACAUUUGCAGCAAACACAUGAGGCAAUAGAGAUGACUCAACAUGGGUCCAUAUUGUGCAGUUCCCCUGAUAUCCUAUUCAUUGUCCUGAAUCUGAAAAGAUAGGAAAACAGUAGCUAUACUUAAACAGUGUUGCAAAACAGUAGCACAUAUCAAUAGCCCGGCAUGACAAAACACGAUCAUCUGGGCGAAGGGGAUACUGACCUGCCUGAGGAAGAUUACAUAUAAUUUCAUAAGUCCUUGGUUGAUUUCCACCUUCGGCUGCACUGCUUGUUUGCUCCUCCAGACAUGAUAGGAUCGUUUCGCACUGCAUUCAGCAAGUCAACGUACGAAUAAGCUAAUUUCAUCUUGCGGUGGUCAUUGUACCUAGUAAUGAAUGUAGGAAUACCUGGAGCACCAUGAGGUUAGCUGACAGCAGGUAGAUGCAGCCAUAUAAAUUUUGUGCGGUGCUACCAAAAUUGAGGUUUGUAUCCCUUCCCGUUAUGAGAAUUCUUCUUGAAGUUGGUAGAAUGUGAUGGCUUGUUCUUUGCAUCAAACUUGCCUUUCCCCUGAGAUUUGUUCUUGUUGUUUUGGGGCUGGUUGGGCUGGAAGUUCUUCUCGUGUACCAUGUGGGCACUAGAAGCUCCCUCGGCGACCCGAGCACGUGUGUCUUUUGCUCUCGCCUUCUCCUCAAAAUCAAGAGCGCUAAUGAGAUCCAAAACAAAAAACUCAUGUCUCUUGUUUUUCAGAGAAGUAGCAAAAUUGUUCCAUGAAGGUGGAAGCUUGGCAAUGAUGGUCCCAACAACAAACUUGUCCAGCAACACACACUUAAAGUACUCAAGUUCCUUAGAGAGUGACUGUAUCUCAUGAGUCUACUGAACAACAGAGCGCUCAUCAGUCAUCUUGUAGUCGCAGAAUUGCUCCAUGACGUACAACUCAUUGCCAUCACCCGAGGGCCCAAACGUGGCAUCGAGCGCAACCCACAUGUCUUUGCCGCUGUCAAACAACAUAUACGAAUCCACAAUGGAAUCGUCAAGAACACUCAGCAGGGUGGCUUUGAAGAGGGUAUCCAUGUUCUGAAAAGCUUCCUAUUGUGUAGGAUUAAGAUCGCCCUCAGCCUUACCCUUAGUGGCGUCAUAGCAGCACAUGAUCUGAAACCAAUAUACUGCUCUUGUGCGCCACCUUUUAUAUUGCACCCCUUAAAAGUAGGCGGCUUUAAAAGCGCAGCAAAACAACUCGGAGUAAAUUGCCUGUGAUCAGGUUUUUGGAUUGGAUUGUUGAAUAUAUGAGCAAUUUAGUAUGAGACAUAAUCUGAAUCAGCAGUAAAUAGAUCAUGAUGACAAUUGCAAACAUCAAAGUAAUGAUGCGGACUAAACCAGGAGGACAGAAUCACAUACUGUACAGCGGGAGCAGAACCAAUGUGGUUGAUGUUGUCACUCAUGUUGUUGAUGAAGAGGUUACCGAGGUCGGGCAAGAAGGCUGUCAUUGAGGAAGUCGUCGCUGGCAGCAGUCACAGGAGUGUGCUCCCCAAAAACCUGAUCGCCCCUCUCCCGUACAGGAUCACGAAAGGCGGGGUUCGGAGGACUGCUGUCCCUUCUCGCGGUGCACGCCGGAAGGAGGGCUGGAGAAGAAUUACGUGGCGGCGCUAAGAUCUGGAAUGGUGCGAAACCAUAUGAUACAGCGGUGGCUAGGGUAGAGCAUGUUAGGUCGGAGUAUAAUAGUAGGCCUUUGGCCCCCAAACCCCAUGUCCAAGUCAAUAAUAGCUCAAAAAAGUCAAUAAUAGCCCCACCAAGGUUUGUCUAAAAAAACGAAGUAAUUAAGGCGUCCGUUAGUCCCUUUAGUAUAAAUACAAUAUCAUUAAUAAUGGCCCCACCUUUUGUCUCACAAAGUAGAGUAUGUUGGAGUACAACCGGCUACACAUUUACAAUCCGCUUCUCUUCUCUCUCCUCUUCUCUCUCCUUCAACUAAGCACAAAUACUAUAUUUAAAUCCUUACAGCCUGCUUAUGUCAUCUAAUUAUAGUAGUACUUGCUCUAAAAGUUACUAUCCACUGUGUAGUCUGAAAUGCCAGGCGUGCAGCGGGCGGUGCCCUCGGUCGGCGCGCCGCUUCAACGGCGGAAGUAGUGAGAGGUCGCAUCGCUCUGACUUGCCAUCAAUGUGGAGCGGCGGGCUCAGCUGGCGUCGGGUGGGAAGCGCGCGCGGGAGGGGGGAUGGGUUUUUGUUGGGCCAAGAAGGUGAGAAGCCAACUUGGGAUCAGUCCGGAUGGGGAAAUAUCAUGUGCUCCCAUACUCUGCAUAUGACACUAGUGUAUGUUACUACUCCCUCCUUUCCGGUUUAUAGAGAUGUUUAGAGUAACAUAGUAAUAUGUUACAGUACAAGUUACUCCCCACUAUGACCAGCCUUGGCCUCUCCCAGUACUCCACCAUGUAUAGCUGCUAAGCCUGCCACGUAGGCAUAAAAUAUGAUGUGGCACCAAUAAACUAAGCACCUAUGCAUUGAACACUUGAGUUACUAAGCCAUUUAAUGCACUUAGCACCUCAUCUAAAGAGCAUUAAUAGUAUAGCCAGCUGCUGGCUAUAAGCCUACAUCCCAUCUUAUAGUCAACAUAUACUACAAAGUGCCUAGGAGCACGUGCUAGAGCUGGCUCUUCACGAAGAGCCCGCUUACCUUCUCUCUCCUCUUCUCUCUCCUCUUCUCUUUCCUCCAACUAAGCAGAAAUAUACUACUGUUUACUCCCUCCCUUCCGGUUUAUAGGGCUCAAAUCUCAAAUCUCAUCAACCAAGGCAUUUUGUGAGUGGAGGAAUGUAUCUCGUACAUUACAAAACUACCCAAUUAAACUCAUGCAUUAAUUUGGAUUAAUUACAGUGCAUGCAUGCUUGGCCACUAGAUGAGUAGGAACAUUACAUGCAUUGGUGUGUUCCUUUUUAAUUCUUGCAUGCAAAGAUUUAAUGCGCAUUGGAAACUAAAAAUGAGAUGGAGGUGAGCCCUCUAGAUUGGAAAAACAAAAAAGUUGAGAUAAGCCUUAUAAACCGGAAAGGAGGGAGUAUUCUUUAUAGCCCGCUGACUCAGCUCUAUUGUACUUGCUCUAAGCACAUCUAAACACUUGCUAGCACCCCCUUGACCGUGGACCUUGACGGUGUACGUCACCUUGUAUCUCAUAAUUUUCCUCAUCAUCAUCUGAGUCCUAGAAGAUCCCACCCACAUCAUCAUUAGCAUGCAGUCGCCUUGAUAGACAACGUGCACAGAAGGAGUAGAGGCGACUGGGGACGCACCACCACCACGUCGUGGGCACUCCAUAUGUGCUCGUGUGCGUGCAGCAUGCGUGUUUUUCCAUCGGUGCUAGCUCUAAGGCCGAGGUUGCGGUCGUCUUCGUCUCCGACUAGUAGUUGAGCAACGACGGCAAAGAGGUGCUGCAAGAGAUGCGUAUGCGCCGUUGCGUGCGAGCUUCGCCGUAGCAUGACGAACCAGACGUCACCGCGGAUGGUGCACGCCUCCAUGCAGCCGAGUGUGUGCGCAUGCAUGUGUUAUUCAUGUGCAUUCUGCGGCCGAGCGUGUGUGCAUGCACGUCUUGUGUAUGUGCGUUGUGUGCUCCAUGCUAUGCGCGUAUGUGCAUGAGUUGGAUCGGAUGGAGUUAGUGCGUUCAUUUGUGUGCAUAUUUUAGAGUGUAGAUUUACUCAUUUUGUUUCGUAUGUAGUCCCUUAUUGAAAUAUCUAAAAAGACUUAUAUUUGGGAACGGAGGGAGUAUAAAACAUCUCCAACUUAGCAUCCUGGUGUACCGUUUCUAGUGGUUAGCAAGAAGUUCAUGUUCUUUUAGUUGUUUAUAGGUGGGCAGGCGGCAAAAAACAGGGAAAACGCGCAAGGUUCCUUGCAGACGCUCCACCGCGAGGUUCCUUGCUCCUCCUCGGUCGUCGGGAAUCUAUGCUCUUCAAAUCUUUUCUUUUACGUGAGCUUUGUUCAUCCUUUUCCCAACACGCGAGACAUCUAGCAUCAAGGUGCACGUGUCAUGCAAGAAAAUGGAGAUAAUCAGAUAAGCAGUGCAUAAGUGAGUCGUGCGGGGGGGGGGGAGCGGGGGAAAACCCUUUUCCGUAAGUGAGUCGUGCACUUCAAUGGCACCUACGCAAUAUUUUUUCUCCUCGAUGGCACGUGAAUGGCACGUGAAUAGUGCACAUGAUCAACGACGGAGCACGGGAUGGUAGCAAUGACAUGGUCAGCCCUUUUUUGGAGAGAGUACGUACUACUAUUAAAUAACUUUGAUGUGUCCCGUCAACUCGCAGAACGACGAGAAGCUUGAUUACGCCUUCUCCCUCACCAACGCGUGCGCGGUGGCUCGCAGCACGAGGAGAAACUUUUGCUUACAAGCGGUGGACGUGUAGCAGUUCAUUUGGUGUCAGAUUGCCAGAAGCACUACUGUAGAACCAUCGACUUCCGGAAGAGGCGAAGAGCCAAGCGCAAGGUCACCUACUAACCUUAGGCUAGGCGUAGUGGGAGUAACAUAAGUAGAGGUACCUCCUUUUUUUAUUCUAGAAACAACCACACGCGAAUAUCAAGGUGCUGGUUACGUAGAACAAAUUUCCUGCAGUCCGUGCUCAGCACUCCUCUAUCUCUCUUCUCAGCCAGCCAGCGGAUGCGCGGAUCCCAUCGUCUGUUUGCUCACAUGCGGUCCCACAUGUCAGUGAAAAUGCAAGCGGACCCACUGAACCUGCACAUCUUUCACCUCGACAUGCCGGUGAUGAAAAACAAAUCCAAGAAAGAUCUUCGGUGGCCGCUUUUGGAGUUACUCAAGCGUAGUAAGAUUCUAUUUAUAGUUUAACCCAAGAUGCACAUCUCGUGGCUCCAACUUAUCAACUACCACUCUAUUUUCUUUCAUGACACGACCUGGAUGCUGGAUGUCCCACGUGUCGGCAAAAGGAGGAAGAACCCGACCAAAUUUCGGUUGUGCUCUCGGAUUAGACUAGUUGUGCUAACUUAAUUUUUUUAUUGUGUACUCCCUCCGUUCUAAAAUACUUGACUUCCAUUUGUCCAAAAAUGGAUGUGCCUAUAUACUAAAACAUGUCUAGAUACAUAUAUAUUUUGACAAAUACUACCUCCGUCUGGGUUUAUUGGUCCCCAAUAUAUUUCGUGCCAAAUUUUGACCAUAGAUUAAACUAACAAAAUGUUUACGCAUGUCACCAAACAUUAUAUUUUUGAAAACUAUGUUCAAAUACGAAUCCAAUGAGAUAAUUUUUCUUGACAUGCAUUAACAUUUUGUUAGUUAAAUCUUUAGUCGAAAUUUGACACAAACUACAAAGGGGACCUAUAAACCAGGACGGAGGUAGUAGAACGGAGGGGGUAGAAUGGAUGCAAGUUUUUGUAUUGGGAAGAAGAGUACAUCCAUAUAUUGAUAGAGCGUUGGAGUU